AACGCGAAGAACCUUACCUGGGUUUGACAUGGAUCGGGAGUGCUCAGAGAUGGGUGUGCCUCUUUUGGGGUCGGUUCACAGGUGGUGCAUGGCUGUCGUCAGCUCGUGUCGUGAGAUGUUGGGUUAAGUCCCGCAACGAGCGCAACCCUUGUUCACUGUUGCCAGCACGUUAUGGUGGGGACUCAGUGGAGACCGCCGGGGCCAACUCGGAGGAAGGUGGGGAUGACGUCAAGUCAUCAUGCCCCUUAUGUCCAGGGCUUCACGCAUGCUACAAUGGCUGGUACAGAGAGUGGCGAGCCUGUGAGGGUGAGCGAAUCUCGGUAAGCCGGUCUCAGUUCGGAUUGGGGUCUGCAACUCGACCUCAUGAAGUCGGAGUCGCUAGUAAUCGCAGAUCAGCACG
This 400-nucleotide ribosomal RNA is filed under the name uncultured Propionibacterium sp. RNAcentral's name for it is "bacterial SSU rRNA". It matches the Rfam family "Bacterial small subunit ribosomal RNA", at positions 958 to 1356 of the family's 1533-position model. The record is from RNAcentral. Lineage: Bacteria; Bacillati; Actinomycetota; Actinomycetes; Propionibacteriales; Propionibacteriaceae.